Molecule: ribosomal RNA, 246 nt
Filed under: uncultured bacterium
Lineage: Bacteria
Description: partial 16S ribosomal RNA
Rfam family: Bacterial small subunit ribosomal RNA
Source: RNAcentral
CUAGCCGUAAACGAUGGGUACUAGGUGUGGGAGGUAUCGACCCCUUCCGUGCCGGAGUUAACGCAAUAAGUACCCCGCCUGGGGACUACGAUCGCAAGAUUGAAACUCAAAGGAAUUGACGGGGGCCCGCACAAGCAGCGGAGCAUGUGGUUUAAUUCGAAGCAACGCGAAGAACCUUACCUGGACUUGACAUACCCUGAAUAUCUUAGAGAUAAGAGAAGCCCUUCGGGGCAGGGAUACAGGUGG